GCCAGAGGUCUGAAAGCAGUCCCAGCUACUUGGCAGGCUGAGGCUGGAGUGUCACUUGAGCCCCAGAGCCCUGGGCUCUAGUGUGCUAUGCCAAUCGGGUGUCUGCACUAAUUUCAGCAUCAGUAUGGUGACCUGCUGGGAAUUGGGGGGCCAUGGGGUUGCCUAAGGAAGGGUGAACCUGCCCACAUUGGAAACUGAGCAGGUCAAAACUCCCAUGCUGAUCAGUAGAGGGAUCGUGCCUGUGAAUAGCCACUGCACUCCAGCCUGGGAAAGAUAUAAAGUGUUU
This is an unclassified non-coding RNA of Capra hircus (goat), 286 nucleotides long. It matches the Rfam family "Metazoan signal recognition particle RNA". Rfam says of the family: The signal recognition particle (SRP) is a universally conserved ribonucleoprotein. It is involved in the co-translational targeting of proteins to membranes. The record is from Ensembl. Lineage: Eukaryota; Metazoa; Chordata; Mammalia; Artiodactyla; Bovidae.